UCUCCAACUCGAAAUGUUAAGAAAGUAACCUAUACCUUUCACAGUUUUCGACCACACUUUGUGCGCCUACCGACGCGGCAAACACUUUUGCGGUUGGAAGGGUGAUGCUGGAGGUCCAUUAGUGAUAGAAUCGGACAAUGCCAACAGUCAGCAACCUCGCAACCAGAAAUGCCAGUGGAUUCAAGUCGCCAUCGCCAGCUGGGGAAAUUGUGGCCAGCAUGACAAAGCUGACCUUUACACUCGAGUGACGUCGUUCCUGCCCUGGAUCAAGAAAGAAAUGAUGACGUAAUUAUUAGGUUAAUCAAAGUUUUUGAUUUGAUGAGUGCUCCCCCUAUGAAAUCUUCCAAAAUUCAAAAAGAAUUCCCAAUUUCACACAUUUGCAACAAUUCAUCUGCUUCUUUCUCAUCUGUUGUGUAUCAGCAACUAUCGUUGAGAUCCUUCAAAUAAAUCAAGCAAAGUUC
This is a long non-coding RNA of Daphnia pulicaria, 461 nucleotides long. RefSeq lists it as uncharacterized. The transcript is spliced from 3 exons. The record is from RefSeq and is a predicted model, not a curated record. Lineage: Eukaryota; Metazoa; Arthropoda; Branchiopoda; Diplostraca; Daphniidae.